UGGGGAAUUUUGGACAAUGGGUGCAAGCCUGAUCCAGCCAUGCCGCGUGCGGGAAGAAGGCCUUCGGGUUGUAAACCGCUUUGGCAGGAACGAAACGGCGACUUCUAAUACGGGUCGUUAAUGACGGUACCUGCAGAAUAAGCACCGGCUAACUACGUGCCAGCAGCCGCGGUAAUACGUAGGGUGCAAGCGUUAAUCGGAAUUACUGGGCGUAAAGCGUACGCAGGCGGCUUUGCAAGACAGGUGUGAAAUCCCCGGGCCUAACCUGGGAACUGCAUUUGUGACUGCAUGGCUAGAGUCUGUCAGAGGGGGGUGGAAUUCCACGUGUAGCAGUGAAAUGCGUAGAGAUGUGGAAGAACACCGAUGGCGAAGGCAGCCCCCUGGGAUGAGACUGACGCUCAUGUACGAAAGCGUGGGGAGCAAACAGGAUUAGAUACCCUGGUAGUCCACGCCCUAAACGAUGUCUACUAGUUGUCGGAGGGUAGCUCCUUCGGUAACGC
This 500-nucleotide ribosomal RNA is filed under the name uncultured Pseudomonadota bacterium. RNAcentral's name for it is "bacterial SSU rRNA". It matches the Rfam family "Bacterial small subunit ribosomal RNA", at positions 355 to 849 of the family's 1533-position model. Lineage: Bacteria; Pseudomonadati; Pseudomonadota. The record is from RNAcentral.